RNAcentral lists this ribosomal RNA (253 nucleotides) under uncultured bacterium. Its description in RNAcentral is "partial 16S ribosomal RNA". It matches the Rfam family "Bacterial small subunit ribosomal RNA", at positions 524 to 776 of the family's 1533-position model. The record is from RNAcentral.
UACGUAGGGUGCGAGCGUUGUCCGGAAUUAUUGGGCGUAAAGAGCUCGUAGGCGGUCUGUCGCGUCUGCCGUGAAAACCCGAGGCUCAACCUCGGGCCUGCAGUGGGUACGGGCAGACUAGAGUGCGGUAGGGGAGAAUGGAACUCCUGGUGUAGCGGUGGAAUGCGCAGAUAUCAGGAAGAACACCCGUGGCUAAGGCGGCUCUCUAGUACGGUACUGACGCUGAGACGCGAAAGCGUGGGGAGCGAACAGG